AACCGAUCCAAUAUAACCCGAAUCCGAAUGAUAUAUGGUUACUUUGGAUAUAUCCGAACCGAUCCAAAACCAUAGUGUUAUAUCCGAAUCCGAUCCGUAUUUGUAAAUUUACUAGAAUGAGACCUAGAGGGUGUUACAAAAUAGAACCGAAAUUCGAAAAACCCGAUCCGAACCCGAUGGGUACCCGAACGCCCUGACCGAAGUUUCCGUUUAAAUAUGUAGCUUAAAUGAUGAGAAGGAAUCAAACUCCCCACCUCGUUGCUAAUUUUUAACAAUCACCCGCAUUAAUUUUCAUUUCUAAGAAUCAAAUUCUCGGAAAAUUGUCGGAUAGUAGUGUUCCGACAACGUCUCGAAAAAUUUGGCCAUCGGUUUGGGCUUCUAUUUCUACUGGGCCAUGGAUUGAUUCCCGUUAUAGAAACAGUAUGAUAUGAACAAAGUUACAAUGGCAGUGAUAGAUCGGCAUCUAGACAUGAUAGUUUAGAUAAUUGGGUGGUCUAUUUGGAACCAAAUAAUGUGGUUAUAUGCAAAUGGAUGCUCAAGCCGUUAGUAAGUCAUUGAGUAGUGGUUGUAUUAAGAUUAACUUAAUAUGUAUGCGUUGUAGUUUCUUUUGGUUUGAAGUUUAAUUACUAUCAUUAAUGACUUAACUACAUAAAGUGUUAGGAGACACAUGAACUAUCGAAAAUUGACGGGCUCUACGAAAGCUAUGUUCUAUGAACAUUGGAAGAAUUUGAUUGGACGGAGAAAUGAAAUGCUUAAUGUAUUUUUGGGCUCAAGAAAAUAAUCAACACAGAGGAUUCACAACCUCGAAAGUGAGAUCAAACACCGAACCAAAACUAAAUGGAAGAAUAUAUAUAUACUUCGUAAAACAAUGAAUUAUAGUUAAUUUUGAGUAGGGAUGGACAUAAAUACUUGAUACUCAGCUCUUAUCUGUUAUUGGCCUUGUAUCGGCUUCUAAACGCAAAUAUUUGGCAAUGUCAAAACAAGUAGCAAGUAUAAUAAUAAUUUGAAUACUUGUGUAUAUGGAUCAAGUAACAAGUACUAAAACACUAAGACACUAGUUCUGCCCAUUCUUAAUUUUAAGGACUCUGGGGUUUUCCUUUUUAUGAUAGAAAUUGUAUGUUGUUGAAAAAUGUUUCCUCUAUAUUUAAAAUAGAAAACACAUAUACAAUACUUUGAGAAAGCUCCAGGUCACAGCACAUGACCUUUUUUUUCUUAUCAAAUCAAAUUUGCACUAAUCUUAAAAAUGUUUACACUUCCAGCAAAAGAGGAUACAAAGAGACUAUUAACGGCCAAACAAACAACAACAACAACAACAUAAAAGAUAGAAUAGCGAUACAAAUCACAAAAAGGAACCAUAUGAAAUCAUAUUACAACAACAUCAUAAGAUUCUUCAAAGAAUGCAUCUAGUGUAACCCGUAAAACCACACACUGCACUAUACGGAGAAAAGAGCAUGCGAUAGGAGGAAGAUCCUUGCAAUACCAACGAAACUUGUUCAUCUAAUUCACUCCAUAUAAGAAAAAACAUUAGAAAAGAAGACUGAUUCAAACGAGGAAAAAGUGGGAAAUCAUAAUCCGCCACAUCCAAUUCAUCACCGCACGUGACUCUAACAUGGACUUCUGAACACAUGUAAAACGGAAAAGUAAUGCAUAUUUUGUUCGUUAACAACUGCAUAGUCCAGUCCAUUUUACAGUGGGUUUGGAGAUGCUCUAAGACAUUUUUGAUUGGUUGUUUCUUUCUUUGAAAUAUCAAUUUUACUCUUUCGAAAAAGAAAAAAAAAACUUUUUGUAAUAGAAUUUAGAGAGAGUGAGGGUGGAUUUUGUGAAGGUGUUAGUCGAAAUCAGGGAAUCUUCAGAUACUGAUAUGAUCGAAUUCUUCUUCUAUAGGAAGGAGGAGAAAAAAAAUCCAUAUUCGAGUUUGCGAAUAUUCUGAUCUGACUGCUCAUGUUUGGUUCGCUUUUACAAGGGGGGGGGGGAGAGAAGAGAGUGUCUGAGAGCGAUAGUGAUAGAGAGAGAGAGAGAGAGAGAGAUAGGAGAGAAUGAACUGUGGUGAUGAGGCCGGAGCUUCUUCAGGCCAUUUAGAUUGGAGAUUCUCUCAGGUUUCCGGUGAACGCAGCGCUGGUGAAGAAGUCCAAGAAGUUAUGGGAUAUCAACUUGGACUCGGGUCCGGUGUCAACUUUCCAGGUCCACGAACAUUUAAAGACCAAAGCUCUGUGAUCUAUAUGAAAAUGAUUCCGUAUUCGAUAAGUUUGAAUGUUGUCUAAAUGGGGACGGAUUGCGAGUGGCUACAGGUUCUUACAGCAAUCUACAACUUUGGAAGCAAGCAAAAACCCAAUUAGGUAACAAACUGGUGCUAGCAAGGUGAAUCUAUUUCUCUCAUUUUUUCCUUAGUCUAAGUAUUUGAUUAGAUUGAAUAUGUGAUAAAAUGUUAUAGGAGACAAGUCAAAAUUCCCGCGAGGCCAUCAAUACCAUCAUUAAGCAGUACAACACGCGUGGUUAGAAGAGGUAAGUGAGUUUCAUCCAUGUGCCUUUCAGCAUUAGCCCCUCAAGGGAAUUAAUCAAGAAAUAGUUUAAACAGGAGCAGAGACUCCUGGAAGCAAUAAGAAUGGUAACACUUUUGACCACGCAACCAAAUUGCUGCAUCCAACAGAAAAUUGAUAGCUUCUGCCGCUGCUAACAGUUUGUACAUGUAAUAUGCCU
This is a long non-coding RNA of Brassica napus (rape), 2697 nucleotides long. RefSeq lists it as uncharacterized. The transcript has 4 exons. The record is from RefSeq and is a predicted model, not a curated record. Lineage: Eukaryota; Viridiplantae; Streptophyta; Magnoliopsida; Brassicales; Brassicaceae.